GGCCUAAGUAACCUAAAGUAGGCAUCGAUACAGAUGGGAGAGUCAAACAGUUUCAAAGGCACAAAUUGCACACUUGCAGCAGAGAUUCUCGAAGGCUGUGGUAUCUUCAGAUGAAGAGUAUGAAGGUGCAUAUGGGCGGCGGUGGUCGAGGCCACUGAUUGGAAAGUUUCUUGGUACUGGUUUUGUUGGAAAUUGUGUCCUAAAACCUAUCGUGUGA
RNAcentral lists this long non-coding RNA (217 nucleotides) under Elaeis guineensis (African oil palm). RNAcentral's name for it is "long non-coding RNA (EGUI_LNC056376)". The record is from RNAcentral. Lineage: Eukaryota; Viridiplantae; Streptophyta; Magnoliopsida; Arecales; Arecaceae.